GAUGAACGCUGGCGGCGUGCCUAAUACAUGCAAGUCGAGCGAACGGACAAGAAGCUUGCUUCUCUGAUGUUAGCGGCGGACGGGUGAGUAACACGUGGAUAACCUACCUAUAAGACUGGGAUAACUUCGGGAAACCGGAGCUAAUACCGGAUAAUAUUUUGAACCGCAUGGUUCAAAAGUGAAAGACGGUCUUGCUGUCACUUAUAGAUGGAUCCGCGCUGCAUUAGCUAGUUGGUAAGGUAACGGCUUACCAAGGCAACGAUGCAUAGCCGACCUGAGAGGGUGAUCGGCCACACUGGAACUGAGACGCGGUCCAUACUCCUACGGGAGGCAGCAGUAGGGAAUCUUCCGCAAUGGGCGAAAGCCUGACGGAGCAACGCCGCGUGAGUGAUGAAGGUCUUCGGAUCGUAAAACUCUGUUAUUAGGGAAGAACAUAUGUGUAAGUAACUGUGCACAUCUUGACGGUACCUAAUCAGAAAGCCACGGCUAACUACGUG
RNAcentral lists this ribosomal RNA (497 nucleotides) under uncultured bacterium. RNAcentral describes it as "partial 16S ribosomal RNA". It matches the Rfam family "Bacterial small subunit ribosomal RNA", at positions 28 to 507 of the family's 1533-position model. The record is from RNAcentral.